Long non-coding RNA from Xenopus laevis (African clawed frog), 940 nucleotides. RefSeq lists it as uncharacterized. The record is from RefSeq and is a predicted model, not a curated record. The transcript has 2 exons. NCBI's taxonomy places the organism in Eukaryota, Metazoa, Chordata, Amphibia, Anura, Pipidae.
GAGACAGCAAGGUGGAUAUCAGGCUUGAUUGUUACUGUCUUACUCAUCACUUCUCUAUCACACCCUUCCCACGGAACUUUGCCAGUGCCUGUGCUACAUUAAUCGCUUUUGAUUUUUAGUUAGAACCUUCUCCAGCACAAUAUUUCAGACAAGGUUCCUAUGGGCAGAUUGUACUGACUCAGUCUCCAGAUUAUGUCUCUGUGUCACCAGGAGAAACUGUCACCCUCACAUGUAAAGCAAGUAGCAGUGUUGACGACAUAUUAGCCUGGUACCAACAGAAAUCAGGGCAGGCACCAAAGCUGAUCUAUUGGGCAAGUACCCGACACACAGGGACCCCAGAGCGGAUCAGCGGCAGUGGGUCUGACAUUGACACCAUUCUUACAAUCAGCAGAAUGGAAGCAGAAGAUGCAGCAGAUUAUUACUGUGGGCUAUAUGGAAAGUUACGCAGUGAUACAGAGCUGAACAAAAAAACCUCUCUGGCAUAACUUCCUGUUACUUGAGAUGCCACUGUCAGCCGUGAUGCCUAAAAUGUCAAAAGUCAAAAGCAUGACGGGUGCAGUGUCGAUUCCGCACCACUCCCUUUUGCCCCCACCAUAUACCUCCUACCCAAUAACACACAGGUACACCACUGGUUUUGGAAAGAGAUGGCCGCGGCUGUUUAUUAACAGAAUAAUAAUAAUUAACCUGUAUAACAUUUUAACAUUUUACACACCGUUUGUAUAACAAACUUUUAACAUUCUUUCUAAUAUUAAUUCCCCAUCUGAGGGAAAGAAGAAUGGGGGUGGGGAUGGCUGUACCCAAACUGCCAAGGUAGGUUCCUGUUCCAUUUCUCCCAAGCCCCAAACUGGGCUGUCAACCUUCCCAUGGGGACCCAGGCCUACCAAGCUACUUCCACUCCCUAUGAAAUACCCCCUUUUAACUUCCCCUUGUAAAAUACCCU